UACUAAGGCCAGAGAAGUUGCAGCCUGCAAGGGUUAAUUUUGGUAACUAACUUAGUCGUUGCCUAUUUGGAGGCAAAGCGCGUGUUACAGUCAAGAGGAAGCUGUCAAGCUUCUGUUUGAAAGCAGAAUCGGCUCUGCACCUCAGUGAAGUGAAUGACAAGCGGACACGGGACAAUAACGUCACUGCUCUGUUGCUCCUUUAACAUUGCGUAACGCGCGCGAUGCUGAUAUGCAAACAGCCAGCUGAUAUUUCAUAGCUCACGGCGGCCUGAUGGAGGGGACGACUGCGGAUCUGAAAACAUCUUAGCAGAGCAGCUCGGACACGGAAGGGAUCAAACUAUAUCCGGACGAUUUUCUCCAGUGGUCUGCUGUGCGUUGAAGAGCGAGGUUUUUUUGGCGCAUAAAGGAGUAAACCGAGAGGAUGGCAGGCCCUGAUUCCCCGCAGCAGCAGGUUGAAGAGAAAGCCGAGCAGAUCGAUGACACCGAGCUGGCGUUUCAAGGCAUCAAUAUGCUGCUCAAUAAUGGCUUCAGAGAAAGCGACGAGCUCUUCAGGAGAUACCGGACCCACAGUCCACUGAUGAGCUUCGGUGCCAGUUUUGUCAGUUUCUUGGUAAGUGAACUCAGUUAAAUGGUU
Sinocyclocheilus rhinocerous is the source of this 634-nucleotide long non-coding RNA. RefSeq lists it as uncharacterized. The record is from RefSeq and is a predicted model, not a curated record. The transcript has 3 exons. NCBI's taxonomy places the organism in Eukaryota, Metazoa, Chordata, Actinopteri, Cypriniformes, Cyprinidae.